CUACUUGCCAUCUCUGUCAGGAAGAUUGUGAGUUACCUCUAAGUGAAAAUCUCCACUGACAGAUGUCCACUCUGGUAGGGUUGCCUUUUACAAGAGAAACAUGAAUCCAUGUGUCAACGCCCUUAAGUUUACUGGCCUAGAUUGGUCAGUAAUACCUGUCGUCAGUUAGGUGCAGUGGCCUAUGCCUGUGGUCCCAAAUAUUUGGAAGGUUGAGGCAGAAGGGUGGCUUGAGCCCAGGAGUUCAAGGCUACAAUGAGUCAUGAUUGUGCCACUGCAUUCUGGCUUGGGGAAUAGAAUGAGAUCCCAUCUCAAAAAAAAAUAUAUAAAGUAAUAAUAAUAGCUGAUGUGGUCCCUUCCAACAGUCUUGGGGAGAAUAUUUUAUUUGAUGUUGUUUCCAGUAAACAACAACAUCUCCAGGUUAUAGGCCAAGAUUUUUGAUAUUUUCAUCUCCCAGGAGUUCAUUAUGAAUGGAAUUCUUUGUUAAUGUAGAGUUCUUAGUAAGUUCUGUGAGAUCUUAGCAGUAAUGGAGAAUGUCACCUUUAAGAAGUGCAGAUUCAUAAGCGCCUUCAUCUAACCACUGCAAGGGUCUUCCUGUUAUUAUUUCAAAGAGGGAGAGUGUGGACAUUUUCCACAACCAGUGGGAGAUCCUUGUCCAAGAAAGGUGGCCACAGAGUGCAUGUGCUAUGAGGGACCCGUCCGACAUAUACCCUCCCAGAAGAGCAGGAAAGGGGGUUCAUAAAGAUGUUCUUCUGAUGGGGAGUGUCCUAUAAGGCCACCUUCACAUGGGAGGAUCGCAGCGCAUUUCGGCCAAGACAGGUGAGACUGCGGUUCUGACCUGCGGGCCUCGAUGAAUUGCGUUAGGACACCUGGGCUCCGGGAGAGCCGUUCCACUCCGCAAAGUAAGCGUGUUAUGUCUACAACCCAACGGGGACGCGCUAAGAGCCCCAAAGGCCCUGCUUUCAUCCCAAAGAACAGCCCCCGCCUGCGUAGUUUGUACCCGGCUCUAUGAGGUGAGAACACAUUCCCCGAUAGCACAGAAAUCCUACAAACUCCUGAGGGGGCUGCGGCUAGAAGCAGACGCUGUGUGAAAUGUGACUGGAGGUUAGGGAAAAACACGUAGAUUUUCACAGACCCUGAGAACCCAAGAGACUGCAGACCAUGGACAGACAAAUCUCUGCAAAAAGCAGCCCCGCGUAGAUAAAGGAAGAGCUGUGCGGCCUUCGCGCUAGCUAGCUUGUGUAAAGGUCGACGCUUCUUAUUUCUCCCGAGGCGGGGAGAAAGCGACAUAUUACUACUAUUCCUCAACCUCCGACUGUGAGAGAAACGAUUAAGAGUAAAGCACAAGCCAGUAAAAAAAACAAGUAACCCUCGCCGUGCAGACUGUUCUUUAAACUACAAAAAUCAGG
RNAcentral lists this long non-coding RNA (1406 nucleotides) under Homo sapiens (human). RNAcentral's name for it is "HSALNT0295379". The record is from RNAcentral. Lineage: Eukaryota; Metazoa; Chordata; Mammalia; Primates; Hominidae.